Molecule: ribosomal RNA, 427 nt
Filed under: uncultured bacterium
Lineage: Bacteria
Description: partial 16S ribosomal RNA
Rfam family: Bacterial small subunit ribosomal RNA
Source: RNAcentral
UGGGGAAUUUUGGACAAUGGGCGAAAGCCUGAUCCAGCAAUGCCGCGUGAGUGAAGAAGGCCUUCGGGUUGUAAAGCUCUUUUGUCAGGGAAGAAACGGUGAGGGCUAAUAUCCCUUGCUAAUGACGGUACCUGAAGAAUAAGCACCGGCUAACUACGUGCCAGCAGCCGCGGUAAUACGUAGGGUGCAAGCGUUAAUCGGAAUUACUGGGCGUAAAGCGUGCGCAGGCGGUUUUGUAAGUCUGAUGUGAAAUCCCCGGGCUCAACCUGGGAAUUGCAUUGGAGACUGCAAGGCUAGAAUCUGGCAGAGGGGGGUAGAAUUCCACGUGUAGCAGUGAAAUGCGUAGAUAUGUGGAGGAACACCGAUGGCGAAGGCAGCCCGCUGGGUCAAGAUUGACGCUCAUGCACGAAAGCGUGGGGAGCAAACA